GGACGUGGACAGCUGCGAUAAGCUCCGGUGAGCCGCUAACAGGCUUUGACCCGGAGAUCUCCGAAUCGGGAAACCGAGCAGGGUCUUCCUGCGAGGUGCGUGAUGAAUCCAUAGUCGCGCAUCGGCCAACCCAGGGAACUGAAACAUCUAAGUACCUGGUAGGAAAAGAAAGAAAACUCGAUUCUCCUAGUAGUGGCGAGCGAACGGGGAUCAGCCCAAACCCGUGCAUGAAAGUGCGCGGGGGUUGUAGGGCCAGAGAUGUGGGAUUUGUGAGUGCUAGACGAACCGCUUGGGACGGCGGGCCAUAGAGGGUGACAGCCCCUUAGUCGAAAGCGCAAGCAACCCUAUCUGGUACCUGAGUACCGCAGGACACGUGCAAUCCGGCGGGAAUCUGGAGGGACCACCCUCCAAGGCUAAAUACUCCUUACUGACCGAUAUUGAACAAGUACCGCGAGGGAAAGGCGAAAAGAACCCCGG
Molecule: ribosomal RNA, 477 nt
Filed under: uncultured bacterium
Lineage: Bacteria
Description: bacterial LSU rRNA
Rfam family: Bacterial large subunit ribosomal RNA
Source: RNAcentral